Molecule: long non-coding RNA, 1863 nt
Filed under: Salvia miltiorrhiza (redroot sage)
Lineage: Eukaryota; Viridiplantae; Streptophyta; Magnoliopsida; Lamiales; Lamiaceae
Description: long non-coding RNA (SMIL_LNC000728)
Source: RNAcentral
UCAAAGCAAAAGUUUGUUGGCAAAUGAAGGAUUGAAUGAUUGGAAACAUAUACAUGAUAGACUCAAAACACAUGAGAAUGGUGUCGAGCAUAUUAAUAAUAUGAGAACUUGGAUUGAUUUGCAUAUUAGAUUGAAACGCAAUCAAACAAUUGAUAGAGAUUUACAAGUGCACAUUAAGAAAGAGAAAGAACAUUGGAAACAAGUUUUAGUUAGAAUUAUUGCUGUUGUGAAAUGUCUUGCUACACGUAAUUUGGCUUUUCGUGGGGAUAAUGAGAAAAUUUACCAAAAUAAUAAUGGAAUUUUUUGGGUUUACUUGAACUAAUUGCAGAAUUUGAUUUGGUAAUGCAAGAGCACUUAAGACGUGUCCAAAAUAAAGAAAUUCACUAUCAUUACCUUAGUCAUAAGAUUCAAAAUGAGUUGAUUUCAACAUUAGCCUCUAAAGUUAAGAAUGAUAUAGUCAAAAAAAUCAAAGAGGCUAAGUAUUAUUCAGUGAUACUUGAUUGCACUUCAGAUAUAAGUCAUAAUGAACAAAUGACUUUAGUAAUUCGAUGUGUUGAUAUGACUAGUUCUAGCAUAAUGAUAAAGGAAUAUUUCAUAGAAUUUAUAAGUGUGGAUGAUACAUCGGGAUUAGCUCUUUUCAAUGAAAUACAAGCUGCUUUAGAAUCACUUGGGCUUGAUAUUGAUAAUGUGAGGGGACAAGGUUAUGACAAUGGUUCCAAUAUAGAAAGGGAAACAUCAAGGUGUGCAAAAGAGAUUUCUUGAAUUAAUCCUAGAGCAUUUUAUAUGCCUAUGUGCUUGUCUAUUCUCUUAAUUUAACGAUAUGUGAUAUGGCUAGUUCUUGUGUUAAAGCGGUUUCUUUCUUUGGAGUUGUGCAACUUUUGUAUACUUUAUUUGCAAGUUCUACAAAAAGAUGGAAAAUUUUACAGGAUCACCUUCAUCAAUUUACUUUGAAGUCCUUAUCAACAACAAGAUGGGAAAGUCAUAUUAAUAGUGUUACUGCUAUACUAACUCAACCUAAUGAGAUAAGAGAGGCUCUAUUUGAACUAGCAAGAGUAAGUGAUGAUGCUAAAACUAGGAGUGAAGCCGAGUCUUUGGCGACUAAUGAACUUGAGAAUUUUGAGUUUUUGUUGGGUAUGACUAUAUGGCAUAAUAUAUUGAACAAAACAAAUUUGAUUAGCAAAAAAUUACAAUCUAAAGAUAUGCAAAUUGAUGUUGCAAUAGUUAUUUUGAAAGGUUUGAUUUCUUAUUUUGAAAAAUAUAGAGAGGAUGGUUUUCAAUUGGCCUUGACAUUAGCUAAGGAGCUUGCAUCUAAGAUGGAAAUUGAUCCUAUUUUUCCACCAAAACGUAUGAUUCGUAGGAAGAAACAAUUUGAUGAAAGUUGUCAAGAAGAGAUUCCAUUAUCUGAUGAGGAGUCUUUUAGGAUCAAUUAUUUUCUUGUUAUAGUGGAUAUUGCUAUUUUAUCUUUAAAGACUAGAUUUGAACAAUUGACAAUUUUUGAAGUAUAUUUUUGGCUUUUUUCCUCAUAAGAUGUUAUCUUUAUGGGAUAGUGAUAAAUUGCAUAAGUGUUGUGUUAAGCUUCAAGAUGCCCUGAAACAUAAUGAUAAAUUUGACAUUGAUGCUGAAGAUUUAUAUUCUGAAUUGCAAGUGCUACAAAUGUGUUUACCAUCUGAAACAAAAUCGCUUGGUGAGGUUCUUGAAUUUGUUAAAGUUUCAGAUUGCUUUCCAAAUGUUUCUAUUGCAUAUAGAAUAUUAUUGACUAUACCAGUUACUGUAGCUUCAGCAGAAAGAAGUUUUUCAAAAUUAAAAUUAGAUAAAAUCAUAUUUCGUUCUACUAUGUCUCAAGAAAGGUUGAAUGGAUUAGCG